Phrynosoma platyrhinos (Desert horned lizard) is the source of this 73-nucleotide non-coding RNA. The record is from the annotation of a GenBank genome assembly. Lineage: Eukaryota; Metazoa; Chordata; Lepidosauria; Squamata; Phrynosomatidae.
AGCCAGAAUAGUGUAGUGGUUUGAGCACUGGACUAUGACUCUGGAAAUCAGGGUUCGAUUCCUAGUUUGGCUA